Molecule: ribosomal RNA, 490 nt
Filed under: uncultured bacterium
Lineage: Bacteria
Description: partial 16S ribosomal RNA
Rfam family: Bacterial small subunit ribosomal RNA
Source: RNAcentral
AUUGAACGCUGGCGGCAGGCCUAACACAUGCAAGUCGAACGGUAACAGGAAGCAGCUUGCUGCUUUGCUGACGAGUGGCGGACGGGUGAGUAAUGUCUGGGAAACUGCCUGAUGGAGGGGGAUAACUACUGGAAACGGUAGCUAAUACCGCAUAACGUCGCAAGACCAAAGAGGGGGACCUUCGGGCCUCUUGCCAUCGGAUGUGCCCAGAUGGGAUUCGCUAGUAGGUGGGGUAACGGCUCACCUAGGCGACGAUCCCUAGCUGGUCUGAGAGGAUGACCAGCCACACUGGAACUGAGACACGGUCCAGACUCCUACGGGAGGCAGCAGUGGGGAAUAUUGCACAAUGGGCGCAAGCCUGAUGCAGCCAUGCCGCGUGUAUGAAGAAGGCCUUCGGGUUGUAAAGUACUUUCAGCGGGGAGGAAGGGAGUAAAGUUAAUACCUUGGCUCAUUGACGUUACCCGCAGAAGAAGCACCGGCUAACUCCGUG